AACGAACGCUGGCGGCAGGCCUAACACAUGCAAGUCGAACGCGCGUAGCAAUACGUGAGUGGCAGACGGGUGAGGAACACGUGGGAACAUGCCCUUUGGUUCGGAAUAACUCAGGGAAACUUGAGCUAAUACCGGAUAAGCCCUUCGGGGGAAAGAUUUAUCGCCAUUGGAGUGGCCCGCGUCCGAUUAGCUAGUUGGUGAGGUAAUGGCUCACCAAGGCGACGAUCGGUAGCUGGUCUGAGAGGAUGAUCAGCCACAUUGGGACUGAGACACGGCCCAAACUCCUACGGGAGGCAGCAGUGGGGAAUAUUGGACAAUGGGCGCAAGCCUGAUCCAGCCAUGCCGCGUGAGUGAUGACGGCCCUAGGGUUGUAAAGCUCUUUCACCCACGACGAUAAUGACGGUAGUGGGAGAAGAAGCCCCGGCUAACUUCGUGCCAGCCGCCGCCGUAACAC
RNAcentral lists this ribosomal RNA (454 nucleotides) under uncultured bacterium. RNAcentral describes it as "bacterial SSU rRNA". It matches the Rfam family "Bacterial small subunit ribosomal RNA", at positions 29 to 526 of the family's 1533-position model. The record is from RNAcentral.